UGUCUGCAGCUGCCAGGGCUGGAGGUGAGAGGUCCAGAGGGCUCCAGCUGCCCAGGCCAGCCAGCCACUUCAAGCGUUGAUAGGACUAAUCCCUGCACACCUGUCUCCCAUCUGAGGCCCUGUGUGGCUGGGGCACAUAAGUCUAGAAGCUCUGGUCUAUGGGAAAGUAAAGAGAAGCCCAGGCCUCUUGGCUUGGGCUGGCUUCUAUCGGGUGCCUGCAGGCCCUAGCAGUCCAGAUCACUUCUCAGAGUCCUUGGCUGGAGGUUUCCCUGGCUACCUAGGGAGUGAGUGCAGGCUGGGAUCAAACACUCCAGGGGGCCAGCCCGGGGACGUGACCAGCCUGGGGAUGUUUUCUUACAGUUGAUGUGUAGAAUGUGAGGGAAUGAUGCUCUCCUGGGUCCCUCCCUCUUCUUCUCUACUUUCUCUCUGCUUCCUUCUCCCUGCCCACCACGUCAGCCCAGGCUCAACUUGCGCGUAGACAGCCCUUGAGGUGCCUGCUCCUCAAGCUGUCUUUGCUCAGACAACGGGUCAGGAUCUCAGACUCUCAGCCAGCUCUACCCCAACUGGCUGCGGGACUUGGGCCUCUCACAAGCCUUCCCUCUGCAAGCCCUUGGCCAGCUGCCUGCCCUUGGAGGCUCUUGAAGUCUCUUCCUCCUCUUCCCACUCCAGGUUUUCUACACCAACUGCAGCUGUGUGGCGGAGGGCAACCCCGUGCUGGCAGGAUCCUGCGACUCAACCUGCAGCCACCUGGUGGUGCCCUUCCUGCUCCUGGUCAGCCUGGGCUCGGCCCUGGCCUGUCUCACCCACACACCCUCCUUCAUGCUCAUCCUAAGGUGAAGGUGGGGGCGGGGCGGGAGGUCCUUAACCACAGGCAGAACAAGGAAUUCCAAGGGCGGAGUUCAAGAAAGGAGACCACUUGGGUGUCCUGGUCCCCACAACAUGGCCUUAACUGUGUUCAUCCCAUGGUAACCUACUGAGGCAAGGUUUUCUCCCCAUCUUGCAGAUAAGAAAAUUGAGGCUCAGAGAAGUUCAGGAGCUGGCCCCCAUCAUAUAGCAAGUGUUGGGUGGAAUAGUACUGGUUCCCUGGCCCAGAGCCCAGGCUCCUACUUGUCCAGGGGAGAGGAGGACAUACCUAGGGCCGUGUCCUGGCCUCUGGAGGUGAGGGCAUCAUACCUGCAAUGGAUGAGCUGCAGGAGGUGCAUCUAGGAAACCAAACUGUGUCAGUCUGGUGCAUGAUUCUGAAUACUGCUUCAAGGCUACAUACAAGUGCUUAUUAGGUGCCCGCUGUGGACCCAACCCGUGCUGAGCACUGCCUUUUGGGCCAAGAUCUUUGUGGCCCUCGUCCUAAGAAUGCCUGCUGGUCCUGACAAAUUGUCACCUGAGUUCAAAGUCAGGGUCUCCUGGGGUGAGGGCUGGGAUAAGAGGACUGAGUGAGAAAAAAAUGGUUUUUUUUUUUUGAGACGGAGUUUUGCUCUGUUGCCCAGGCUGGAGUGCAAUGGCACAAUCUCGGCUCACUGCAACCUCCUCCUCCUGGGUUCAAGUGAUUCUCCUGCCUCAGCCUCCCUAGUAGCUGGGAUUACAGGCACCCACCACCACACCCAGCUAAUUGUAUUUUUAGCAGAGACGGAGUUUCACCAUGUUGGCCAGGCCAGUCUCGAACUCCUGACCUCAGUGAUCCACCUGCCUUGGCCUCCCAAAGUGCUGGGAUUACAGGCGCGAGCCACCACACUCGGCUGAGAAAAACAGUUUUUCUAUUCUCUCACUCAACAAUCAACCCAGAAGACUUCUGCGACCAGAAGUGUGGGGGUAUUUUCCCACACACCAGGCACUCAAUUAAUUCUGCAGUGGACCCUAGCCAGCGUCCUCCAAUUCUAUUCUGACACGAUCUACCUGGAGACAGCAUCAGAUCCCACAGGCUGAGCGCUCAGUCCCACAAGACUUCUCCUCCGCUUCCCAUGCCAACCGCAAGCCCCAGGCUGUUUUACCAAUGAUUCUGACCGACCAGCCAUACGCUGGGAUUUCCACAGCCCCAUCUUUGAGUUUGCUUUAUUUGCUAGAGUGACUCACGGAGUUCAGGAAAACAUCUACUUAAUGUUUAUCAGUUUAUUACAAAAGAUAUUAGAAAGGAUACAGAUGAAGUGAUGCAUACAGCGAGGUAUGGGGGAGGAACUUUCAUGCCCUCCCUGGCUGCACCCUGCAGGGACCUCCAUGUGUUCCGCUAUCCGGAAGCUCUCCAAAGCUUCGUUAUGUAGGCAUGAUUGAUUAAAUCACUGGAUAUUGGCAGUCACCUUAACCUUCAGCGCCUCUCCCCUUGCUGGAGGUUGGGGCUGAAAGUCCCAACCCUCUAAUCCUGCCUUGGUCCCUCUGGUGACCAAGCCCCAGCCUGAAGCUACCUAGGGGCUGCUCACCAUCAAUCAACUCAUUGGCAUACAAAAAGACACUUCUCACUUUGAAGAUUCCAAGAAUUUUAGGAGUGUAUGCCGGGAAGACCAAAUACAUAUCUCACAAUAUCACAGGGACCUCAGAGCAAGAUAAUUUCCAUUUUCCUUCCCCUGGGAUUAUUUUAUUCACUAUCUACUUUCUAGGAAAUUAGAAGGGAAAUGGAGCCCCUUGCAAAUACUAGAAGACAUGUAGAUCUAGAACACAAGCUGGCCUGGGAGAGAAAAUAGAGGAAUCAGAUGCCCAACAGGCAGCCUGACUAAAAGGAGUUGAGAACACAGCCUCAGGGCUGCGUGGAUACAGGCCCUGACUGCUGUCAGCCAUGAGAUCUUGGCCAAGUUAUUGAAUCUGUCUAAGUGUCAGUCUCCUUAUCUGUAAAAUGGGGCUAAUGUACACCUCGCUCACAGGAGUGAUGUGGGGUUGCAAGGCAAUGUUACUGAGCCCGUAGUAAGCGCUCCAUAAAUGCCGGCCACUGGUGUUGUCUGGCAGGAGCCAGAGGAUCGCAGGCUGUGGUGUUACAGUGGUUGGGGAUGCUGGGGAAGUGUCUGACUGUCCCAGCUCCAGGUCUUGCCAACUGUAGGAGUAAGGGGAGAAUUUGAUGGGACCAGUGGGUGGAGGAAGAAGAGUGAUGUCUGUGACCAGAAACAUACAGAGGUCAGCACAGGACCCUGAUGGUCAGUGGGUGUGUUGUCUUGUAUAUGGGACCAGGCUCUGCAGGUUGAAAAAGGAUGGGGUACGUCCCUGAGCCCCCAGCCUAGAUCACCAGAUGGGAGGGAGGCUGGCUCUGGGUGGUGGGAGAGAAGGGCAUAAUGAGAACCCUUCAACAUUGAUGCAUGGCCCUUGGGGGCUGGAACCCCUCCAACCUCAUGUUGCCCAUGUCUCUGCUUGUUAGAGGAGUGAAGAAAGAAGACAAGACUUUGGCUGUGGGCAUCCAGUUCAUGUUCCUGAGGAUUUUGGGUAAAGAUCUUGCUUGGGACCAUUGGUGGUGGUGAUGGGAUCCAGAUGCCCACUGUGUGCCAGGCCUGGGGCACAGGCAUGAGCGGAACUCAAUCCCUGAUCUUAGGGCUCACAAGCCCAUGGGGUGAUAGACCUGGCCCAGCUCUCCUAGAGCCGGGUAUACAGGCAGAGUCUAGACAGCCCGUCAGGAAGCCACCUCGGAUGCAGGGGUGGGGCGGGCUUGAGGGCCAGAGAGCCAAGAGGCCCCAGUAACCCAGAGCCCCUGAGGGGUUGUACGUGCCAGGGAGGGGGCAGGGCAGGACGGUGGGCCUUCUUUGUCCCCUGAGCACCAUCUCCCUCAGCCUGGAUGCCCAGCCCCGUGAUCCACGGCAGCGCCAUCGACACCACCUGUGUGCACUGGGCCCUGAGCUGUGGGCGUCGAGCUGUCUGUCGCUACUACAAUAAUGACCUGCUCCGAAACCGGUUCAUCGGCCUCCAGUUCUUCUUCAAAACAGGUUCUGUGAUCUGCUUCGCCUUAGUUUUGGCUGUCCUGAGGCAGCAGGACAAAGAGGCAAGGACCAAAGAGAGCAGAUCCAGCCCUGCCGUAGAGCAGCAACUGCUAGUGUCGGGGCCAGGGAAGAAGCCAGAGGAUUCCCGAGUGUGAGCUGUCUUGGGGCCCCACCUGGCCAAGAGUAGCAGCCACAGCAGUACCUCCUCUGAGUCCUUUGCCCAAGAUUGGGUGUCAAGAGCCCUGUGUUCCAUUCUGGCUCCUCCACUAAAUUGCUGUGUGACUUCAGGCAAGACACCUAUCCUCUCUGAGCCUUUGCUUGCUAGUCUGAACCGAAGAGUUGUUUGGGCGUUUGCUGUGUUGGCCAUUUCUGAAGCAAGAGGGUCUUCCUCCUCCUUCCCCCAGCCAGCCAGCUGUCCUGCAGCCAGGCUUUCCUGGGUGGAAAGACUGUAUACCUUUCCCCGGGGCCCUAGGAUAGCAAAGUGAGCCAUAGUGGGCCAGGCUGUCCUCCAUGCUGGGCCCCAGCGCAGGUCUGCACUCGCCUGGAUCACCCUCUUUGAGCCUUAGCCAUCUCCUGUCAGGUGGGAAUGAACUUGCCAGCCUUCAGGCUCGCUCAGCUGUGACCAUCUGUGCGGUCAGGGUACACUCAGAUCUCCUCCCCAACUCCAGCAACCUUUAAGAAGUGUCCCUUUGGCGCCCCCUGGAGGCAGAGCACUGAGCUGGACCCUGGGUAAACUCCCGCAGGGAGGACGGAGCUGGCCUCAGGUGUGGGACACCCAGACUUGGCAGGGCCUUCAAGAGGCCUGUGUGGGGGCCCCAGGAAGCCUUAGCUGAAGCGGGGAGACUCACUCUCCAUCUCAGGAAGUUCUAGCCCUUGCCCUCAGGGAGCCACGGUUGAGGGUGAGGCCCAACACCUGCCUUAGGGCCCUGGGUGGGCAAGUCUGGGCCCUGGGGUAGGGAGGGAGACUCAGGCCCACACUUGGGUAUUUUCUAAUUUCAGACAAACACACACUCAGCGUGCACUCACUGAUUCCUACACAUUGCCAAUAUUUCACACGUGACCAGGGGCCACCAAAGUCCCUGUGACCUUUGUAACUAGGAUCCUAAUUUCUCUAUUUUCUCCUGGGUGCCUGGGUCUGUGUCACCUGGGGCAGUGUGGAUAAUGUUUAGUUCUGUGACACUGUUUUUUGGGGGUGGCACCUGGUUCUCUGAUGCCUGGGCUGGCAUCAGGCCCAGGACUGUAGAGCUGGGAGCAGUAAAGCUCAGCUCUGUGUAAUGAGUGAUGCUAUAGCUUGCUCGGGUCUUAUGAUCCAAUCCUUUUCUACAUCAGGCCUUGUUUUGUUUUAUGGCUAGUCUUAUCUGGCCUGGUUAUUUCCCUGCGGGGAGGAGAGAGUUUGCUAAUCGGCUCCCAGCCCAACCUAUUACCACCCCACCUCUCUGGGACCUGCUGCUUGGGAAGCAGCAGACAGGGAGCCACCAGCAGUGGCUUCCUGGCCCUGUGCUGGGGGUGGGGGGAAGCUGGGGGCACAUGUGGCCCUUGCCUUCUGAGCAGCUCCCAGUGCCAGGGCUUUGAGACUUUCCCACAUGAUAAAAGAAAAGGGAGCUACAGAAGUUCCAAUUCCCUUUUUAUUUUGCUGGUUGGUAUCUGUAAAUGUUUAACAAAUAUCUGAGCAUGUAUGUAUCAAUGCCAAGAAUUGCAAAGUAUCCUUCAACAAUAUGAGGCUUUUAGGAUGUUUAUAUUCCUUCAUCCCUCUUGUUUCCCAGGUUUUGCAGGGAAAAAAAGUCUGGAAUUAUAGAUACGGCUUAUUAUUAAAUUUGUUCUUGCAUAAUGUCUCUUCUAUUACAAAAAUUCUUUCUUUAUAAACUGCAUUAGAGGUUUGCAACAACCACAUCAUUUCCAUUAACUUAGAUUUAAGUUUUACUGGAUUCAUUGCUCACCAUUAUUGCUUGUAUAUUACAUCUUUUCCAAUCUUUA
RNAcentral lists this small RNA (5858 nucleotides) under Pongo abelii (Sumatran orangutan). RNAcentral's name for it is "retained intron". The record is from RNAcentral. Lineage: Eukaryota; Metazoa; Chordata; Mammalia; Primates; Hominidae.